RNAcentral lists this transfer RNA (84 nucleotides) under Ailuropoda melanoleuca (giant panda). It matches the Rfam family "tRNA". Rfam says of the family: Transfer RNA (tRNA) molecules are approximately 80 nucleotides in length. Their secondary structure includes four short double-helical elements and three loops (D, anti-codon, and T loops). Lineage: Eukaryota; Metazoa; Chordata; Mammalia; Carnivora; Ursidae. The record is from Rfam by way of RNAcentral.
GCCUGGGUGGCUCAGUCAGUUGAGUGUCUGACUUCGACUCAGGUCAUGAUCCCAGGGUCCUGGGAUCGAGCCCCACUUUGGGCU